AUGGGGAACAACGGCGUAAAGAGACACGGAUCGAAGGGGGAAAGUGGUGGAAGCGGCCGAGGAGCUCACCACCAAGCUCCUAGACGUGGAUUGGAGGCGCGGGGGCGACUAGAUGCGACGAGCUGGACGACGAGAGACGACAGCCGUGAGGAGGAGGAGGGAUUUGGGCGCGCGGGGUGCUGUGCGGUGGAAGGAAGCAGUCGUCGUGGCCUGAACCCGAGCUCCUGGCGGCGGGUCAUGGCGCCGGCGGGAUUUGGGGCUCCAGCGGUUGGCGAGCGGGGCGAGUGGAGGCCCGGAACGGGCGGAUCUCAACAUGGAGAACCAGAUCCGGUGGGUAGCGCGAGGCAGAGGCGAGGCGUCCAUGGCGGCAUGCUCAUCUGCUUGGCUUCCCCGGUGGCGGCGGUCACCAGCGAUGUGCGGAGGAAGAUGAGGGAGGGUCGAGGCUGGUGUGGGGCGGCGCUGGAGGGAGACGAGGGGAUCGGCUACUCCGGUCGGAUGAGCCGGCCGAGUAGAAGAGAGAGAGCAGGCGUUGGGGAGUCGGGAGUGCUAGGAGAGAGCAGAGAGCGGAGGAAACAAAAGAGCGGCGGCGGACGACGAGAAGGUGAAGGCGGCACGACGCUCUCCGACUUCUGCCUCCACACCACCUACGCGUCGUCGUCCAUCCGCGCGGUCGCCGGCGGCUGCCGCGCCCCGCGCGAGCGCUCGAACUACUGGUGGAGGGAGAGCAUUUGUGGAGAAGGCAGGGUGAGUACGCCGUGCGCCAGCGCCGCCGUCGUCCGCGGCACGCUCACUGCCGUCGGUGAGACGUGGGGCCCCUGGGUUCUCAAGGGCUGGCCCUCCCGCCUCACGGCCCCCAAGGAGGCCGCCGCCAUGCGCCCGGCCGUCGUCGAGGCCAGAAGCACUUUUACCCGCCGCCGCCGACGCCGCCAUCCAUUCAAGCAGGCGCGCCCGUGCGACACAGGUACGAGGAGUUCAUGGAGGCCGGCCGCCUCGCCGCCGAGUACUUGGUGGGCAAAGGCGUGCUCCUGCCGGCAUCGAUGUAGGGGGGCUGUGUUGUUGACUGGGGCCAGAUACCACCUGCGCCUCCGUUGCUGCAUGCUCAGGAAGCCCCCGCGUUCUAUGACUCCCGCUGGAAUGGCCACAACAUCUUGA
RNAcentral lists this ribosomal RNA (1152 nucleotides) under Triticum aestivum (bread wheat). RNAcentral's name for it is "partial small subunit ribosomal RNA". Lineage: Eukaryota; Viridiplantae; Streptophyta; Magnoliopsida; Poales; Poaceae. The record is from RNAcentral.